Esox lucius (northern pike) is the source of this 2702-nucleotide long non-coding RNA. The record is from Ensembl. NCBI's taxonomy places the organism in Eukaryota, Metazoa, Chordata, Actinopteri, Esociformes, Esocidae.
AUCAAUCUCAGCUUCAGAACUAACUUUUUCCUAUUUUAAAUCUUCACUUGAACAGGUAAGAGUUUCAUAGUACACUCUACUGUAAAAUGUGGUAUUCAUGUCUACAGUAGAUUUAAAAAUAAUGUCUUCUUAAUUUAAAGAAGUCCUGGCAACCAUGAAACUACAAGUUCUAGUGAUGUGCCUAGUGAUGUGCCUGUGUUCCUCCAUUCCUGUAAGUUUUCUAGAAUAACAAAAUUUGUCCUGCUCUUUACAAAUCCAUAGUUCAAGACAUUCUACAUAUUCCAUCAAUUUCUUCGUAUUAAAAUAAGAAAAUAAUUGACUUAUGUAUCAUGGGCUGAUUGUUCACAACUUUAAAUGUGGAUGUAUUUGUACCGUAAUAACAUUAAUUCUGGAAUUCUUUUUGUGGGUGCAGGUGUCUAAGAAACAUAAUAGAGAGGAGCGCUCUUCGAGUCAUGAGGGAUAUAGGGGUUUUAUGGGGUUCCACCCCUAUCCUCAGUACUACCCCCAGCCUCCCCAGAGUGACACCACCCUGAUGGCCCUGCUGCCCUUACUAUUGGCCAGACGCACUGCUGCUUCUGCACCGGUUCCUGCACCCCUUCCUCCCCUGCCGGCCCUACCUGCCUUACCACCCCUACCUCCUCUACCUGCCCUACCUGCCCUACCUGCCCCACCUGCCAUACCUCCCCUUCCUGCCUUACCUGCCAUACCCCCAUUUCCUGCCAUACCUCCCUUUCCUCCCCUACCCGCCCUACCUGCCCCACCUGCUCUACCUGCCCUACCCGCUCUACCUGCCCUACCCGCUCUACCUGGCCUUCCUGCUCUAGCUGCCCCAGCAGCCCCAGCUGCCCCAGCUGCCCCACCAGCUCUACCUUUAAUUCCUUUCCUAACUUCCCUUUUUGGAAGGAAAUAAAAAUGAAAUGGCCAUUUCCAGAAGUCGGGAGAGAAAAAUUUACUCCCAUGUCUCUACCUUGUCUAGUUUAAAGCUAAUAACAAAUAAAAUUAAUUAAAUUAAGACCUGUCUUUAUGUAUGAUUUUAGAAAUUAAUGAGGCAGUCAUGCUCGUUUGGUAUAUUUUUGUGGACUUGAACCCAUAGAUACCCCAGUGGCCAUACUUAACUGGAAUAACCAAGCCACUAUUGUUUUUUUUUUCUUUGUCUUUUGUUUUGUUUGCUUUACACAGGGAACCAUAUUAUUGUAGAUGGGCUUGGAAACUUGUCCAACCUCACCUGUGUGCUCAAAGGUCUAACAUGAUUGUGAAAAAACAUUGGAUAGACUAGGUAAACAGAAUGGCACCAAAGAGCUCUCAUGAAACAGUGACAUGCUGGAGCAAUACAAAGAAAUAAUUAAUCACAUAGUGAAUGUAAUAUUCUAGUAAAACUUAAUAAGUGUUUAUACAUUUUAUCUUCAACAGAAACGGGUAUGUUUUCAUUCAUUUUCAGCCCUUUGUAUUGCAUGACUGUAGUCAGACUUUGUGUAGUCACUGGGUAAUUUAUAAAUAUUGAAUCUUUAUUAUAGAUAUAGGGUUCAGACUUUAGAGGAGGACACAAAAUAAUCAAACACUUAUCUGUAAAUGCCUUGAUAAGUGUCUCCAUUACUUUAAUGACCAACUGCAGUAUUAGUAAAUAUGGAAGAUAAUAUUCAUUACCACACUCGUUCAUUUUCAGCCCUUUGUAUUGCAUGACUGUAGUCAGACUUUGUGUAGUCACUGGGUAAUUUAUAAAUAUUGAAUCUUUAUUAUAGAUAUAGGGUUCACACUUUAUAGGAGGACACAAAAUAAUCAAACACUUAUCUGUAAAUGCCUUGAUAAGUGUCUCCAUUACUUUAAUGACCAACUGCAGUAUUAGUAAAUAUGGAAGAUAAUAUUCAUUACCACACUCGUUAAACAUUACUAUUAUCCAAUUUGUUACACUCUAUGAAUUCAUUUUGAAAAGGAAGUAUGCUUAUAAAUAAACUGUUGUCAACCUGAUGGCUAAUAUAUAUAUAUUAAAAGAUGACAACACAUAAUAUUAAUAUGUAUAUUUUAGUCAAUUUGCAGAUGGUCCUAUCCAAGUGCAUAGAUUAAAAAAACAAAAAAACAUCUAGGUUAAACAACCUUAGAGCGUAGUAAUGCCAUUGUAAUCAGUUAAUUCAUUUUUGGCAAAAGUUGGUGCCGGAAAGAACAACCUACAAAUAAUAAAUAAUAAAGUUUACCAAUGACAUAUAACUCAACAAAUGACACAUGUAUUAAGGCAAGUAGAUAGAUAGAUAGAUAGAUAGAUAGAUAGAUAGAUAGUAACAAUAAGUAACUAUUCAAGUAAUUAUUCCAUAAUCAUAAAUGCCAUUCAUACCUAAAUAAGGUUGUUGAGUCAUACAACACAUGAAGGGACACCAUGAAAUAUUAGUUGUGGCCAAAGUAUGGUUUUGAAAGAAAAUACAAUACUAUAUAGUGGAACAAUGUCAAUUUGAAACUGGUUUAGCCCAGUCUGAAAGAGGACAACUUUAGAUUAUUUCUGUCAUUUCAUGAAUGCCAAACUUAGUACAGGACUAGUGCUAUAUAUUCUCAAACAUUGGAACUUCAGGGCGAGAUAAAAAAAAAAUUAUACUAAAGUAAAUAUAUAUUUUGAACACAACAAUGGGUUAAAAUUAAUUUCCCCAAAAAUAGUUAGGUGUAAUACAGUACAAUGUAAUUAAUGGAAUACAUAAUAGGCACCGCUUCUCUCCUGG